CCUACGGGAGGCAGCAGUAGGGAAUCUUCCACAAUGGGCGAAAGCCUGAUGGAGCAACGCCGCGUGGGUGAAGAAGGUCUUCGGAUCGUAAAACCCUGUUGUUCGAGAACAAAGUGCGUGAGAGCAACUGUUCACGUUUCGACGGUAUCUAACCAGAAAGCCACGGCAAAACACGUGCCAGCAGCCGUGGUAAUAAUUAGGUGGCAAGCGUUAUCCGGAUUGAUUGGGGGUAAAGGGAACGCAGGCGGCCCUUUAAGGCUGAUGUGAAAGCCUUCGGCUUAACCGGAGUAGUGCAUUGGAAACUGCGGGUCUUGAGUGAAGAAGAGGAGGGUGGAACUCCAAGUGUAGCGGUGAAAUGCGUAGAUAUAAGGAAGAACACCAGUGGCGAAGGCGGCUCUCUGGUCUGUAACUGACGCUGAGGUUCGAAAGCGUGGGUAGCAAACAGGAUUAGAUACCCCUGUAGUC
RNAcentral lists this ribosomal RNA (465 nucleotides) under uncultured bacterium. RNAcentral's name for it is "partial 16S ribosomal RNA". It matches the Rfam family "Bacterial small subunit ribosomal RNA", at positions 338 to 795 of the family's 1533-position model. The record is from RNAcentral.